Molecule: unclassified non-coding RNA, 148 nt
Organism: Pongo abelii (Sumatran orangutan)
Lineage: Eukaryota; Metazoa; Chordata; Mammalia; Primates; Hominidae
Rfam family: Metazoan signal recognition particle RNA
About the family: The signal recognition particle (SRP) is a universally conserved ribonucleoprotein.
Source: Ensembl
GCCGGGCAUGGUGGUGCGUGCCUGUAAUUCCAGCUACUUGGGAGGCUGAGGCAGGAGAAUCACUUGAACCCGGGAGGCGGAGGUUGCAGUGAGCCAAGAUCAUGCCACUGCACUCCAGCCUGGGCAACAGAGUGAGACCCUGUCUCAA